AUUGUAUCCACGAUUGGGGAAUUUUCCGCAAUGGGCGAAAGCCUGACGGAGCAAUACCGCGUGAGGGAGGAAGGUCUGUGGAUUGUAAACCUCUUCUGAUAGGGAAGAAGUUCUGACGGUACCUAUCGAAUCAGCAUCGGCUAACUCCGUGCCAGCAGCCGCGGUAAUACGGAGGAUGCAAGCGUUAUCCGGAUUUAUUGGGCGUAAAGCGUCCGUAGGUGGUUAUUCAAGUCUAUUGUCAAAGCCUGGGGCUUAACCCUGGAGAGGCGGUGGAAACUGAAUAACUAGAGUGCGGUAGGGGCAGAGGGAAUUCCCAGUGUAGCGGUGAAAUGCGUAGAUAUUGGGAAGAACACCGGUGGCGAAAGCGCUCUGCUGGGCCUGCACUGACACUGAGGGACGAAAGCUAGGGGAGCGAAAGGGAUUAGAUACCCCUGUAGUCAAUCGUGGAUACAAU
Molecule: ribosomal RNA, 454 nt
Filed under: uncultured cyanobacterium
Lineage: Bacteria; Bacillati; Cyanobacteriota
Description: bacterial SSU rRNA
Rfam family: Bacterial small subunit ribosomal RNA
Source: RNAcentral